This 132-nucleotide small RNA is filed under the name Salmonella enterica. Its description in RNAcentral is "RtT sRNA". It matches the Rfam family "RtT RNA". From Rfam's summary of the family: This family represents a bacterial cis-regulatory element known as RtT RNA. Lineage: Bacteria; Pseudomonadati; Pseudomonadota; Gammaproteobacteria; Enterobacterales; Enterobacteriaceae. The record is from RNAcentral.
AUAUCUCUCUGUACGGGAAGGAUGAGAAGCUUCGACUAAGGUUCGAUUCGAGCGAAAGCGAGAAAGCGUUGCCGCAGGCAACGACCCGAAGGGCGAACCGCGCAGCGCUGAGUAAUCCUUCCCCCACCACCA